GCGGGCAUAGUUCAAUCGGUAGAACGUCGGUGUGCCAUGCCGAAGAUGGCGGUUCGAGGCCGCCUGUCCGCU
Molecule: transfer RNA, 72 nt
Filed under: Anaerolineae bacterium
Lineage: Bacteria; Bacillati; Chloroflexota; Anaerolineae
Description: tRNA-Gly
Rfam family: tRNA
About the family: Transfer RNA (tRNA) molecules are approximately 80 nucleotides in length. Their secondary structure includes four short double-helical elements and three loops (D, anti-codon, and T loops).
Source: RNAcentral